UGACACCUAAUUUCCAGAAUUUGGAAGGAUCAUGGACCAAUAUCUCACCAACUCGUUGAUGUUCUAGCAAAAGAGCACAAGCAUCAAAGGGUUGAACUAUGUCUUCAUUUGGCCCAUCAACAUUGGCAAUCAUAAAUUUGAUCAGGGACAGGCAUUUGGUGCUUGGAAAGGAAAUAAACAUCGACCGAUCUUUCUGCUAUUUGUAGUGGGAAUCCAUUAGAUACAAGGCCAAUAUAUGGAGAUGGAGGUGAAUAAAUAUAUGGCAUAGUGAACGCAAUCUCUUGCAAGUAUACAAAGAGCAAGAAAGUGUGCAACAAUAACGUCAUGUUGCUACUAAUCCUAUUACAAAUUUUGCUAUCUUUGUAAUUCUUUCUUACCUUACGGCUUAAGCUUAUUUGAUUAUAUCACGUGAUCAACUUCAACUUUAUUUUUAUUUUUUUAGAUUCGUUCUCGGUGGCAUUAUAAGAAAUGCUCACUCUAAAAUUCAGAAAAUCCCUUCUUCUAGAAAGACUAUGGCCUCUAAAAUUUAUAACUUUAAUUCUAGAAAAAUAAUGUGUGAUCUCUUCAAUCUUUAUAAAGACAGUUCUAUAUUUCAAUUGUACAUAUAUUGCGAUUCAUUUGCAUAAUCUGGGGGCAAUCACAGCAUUACAGCAAGGCAUAGGUGUACCCUGGCCUGGCACAAUUCAUAGACCAAGUAGCAGACAAGAGGGUUGUGCUGAAUUCAAAUCCAAUCCUUUAUUCUGUUAGAGCGCUCCUAUACAGGCAGACCAGAUCAGAAGAAAAUCUAGCGUGUACACUAAAAUAUAUUCCCUCCAAACAAAGAGGUAAAAUUGUCAGCAAACACCCACAUGAUAUGCACGCAAUUGACUUAUUUUGACCAAUUUUAGUUAGAGGGACAGUUUUGCAAAAAUUGAAAUACUGGCUAUAACAUUGUAAAAAUUGAAACAUUAGCAUCUAUAUUGCAAUUCAACGUCAACAUGAGGAGACAGUUUUGUAAUUUACC
RNAcentral lists this long non-coding RNA (1003 nucleotides) under Panax ginseng (ginseng). Its description in RNAcentral is "long non-coding RNA (PGIN_LNC015650)". The record is from RNAcentral. Lineage: Eukaryota; Viridiplantae; Streptophyta; Magnoliopsida; Apiales; Araliaceae.